Fukomys damarensis (Damara mole-rat) is the source of this 417-nucleotide long non-coding RNA. RefSeq lists it as uncharacterized. Lineage: Eukaryota; Metazoa; Chordata; Mammalia; Rodentia; Bathyergidae. The record is from RefSeq and is a predicted model, not a curated record. The transcript has 3 exons.
UCCUUUCCUUCUGCCUCACGACCAGGAGAGAGGCUCGCUGCUUGCUACACCAUCCCCUUGGACACACAGAGAAACUGAGUCUCAGCGGAUCGAGGACACAAGGUUUUCCACGCAGUUACUCCUGGGAACUUCACUGGAGUCGGGGGAGAGAGAGCUUUGUGUGUCGGGGCAGCGCCUCCCGGCCUGGUGCGUGUGUGUAACCAGAUGUCCUGCUGUAUUCUGUACCACUCACCUAGAGACAAGGCAAAGCGAGCUGAUCUCCAAACACUGCAUCCAGACUUACUGCAGAAGCCCAAUUGCCUCUCUCUUAGAGCAGCUAGGAAUGUCUUACACUGUCUCGUUACAUGUUUCCCGAUCCUUAACGUGAACAUCACCAGCAGAACAGUUCCACGUCAUUUGGAGAAAUUUGAUAGUGAA